CCUACGGGUGGCAGCAGUGAGGAAUAUUGGUCAAUGGGCGCGAGCCUGAACCAGCCAAGUAGCGUGAAGGAUGACUGCCCUACGGUUUGUAAACUUCUUUUAUAAAGGAAUAAAGUGAGGCACGUGUGCCUUUUCGUAUGUACUGUAUGAAGAAGGAACGGCUAACUCCGUGCCAGCAGCCGCGGUAAGACGGAGGAUCCGAGUGUUAUCCGGAUUUAUAGGGUUUAAAGGGAGCGUAGAUGGGUUGUUAAGUCAGUUGUGUAAGUCUGCGGCUUAACCGUAAAAUUGCAAUGGAUACUGGCAGUCUUGAGUACAGUUGAGGUAGGCGGAAUUCGUGGUGUAGCGGUGAAAUGCUUAGAUAUCACGAAGAACUCCGAUUGCGAAGGCAGCUUACU
This 395-nucleotide ribosomal RNA is filed under the name uncultured bacterium. RNAcentral's name for it is "partial 16S ribosomal RNA". It matches the Rfam family "Bacterial small subunit ribosomal RNA", at positions 338 to 730 of the family's 1533-position model. The record is from RNAcentral.